GGGAUAUUGGACAAUGGGGGCAACCCUGAUCCAGCGACGCCGCGUGAGGGAAGAAGGUUUUCGGAUUGUAAACCUCUGUUGACAGGGAAGAAAAUGACAGUACCUGUUCAGAAAGCCACGGCUAACUACGUGCCAGCAGCCGCGGUAAUACGUAGGUGGCAAGCGUUGUCCGGAAUUACUGGGUGUAAAGGGAGCGUAGGCGGGGCGGCAAGUCAGAAGUGAAAAUUAUGGGCUCAACUCAUAACCUGCUUUUGAAACUGUUGCUCUUGAGUGAAGUAGAGGCAAGCGGAAUUCCUAGUGUAGCGGUGAAAUGCGUAGAUAUUAGGAGGAACACCAGUGGCGAAGGCGGCUUGCUGGGCUUUUACUGACGCUGAGGCUCGAAAGCGUGGGGAGCAAACA
RNAcentral lists this ribosomal RNA (399 nucleotides) under uncultured bacterium. RNAcentral describes it as "bacterial SSU rRNA". It matches the Rfam family "Bacterial small subunit ribosomal RNA", at positions 358 to 774 of the family's 1533-position model. The record is from RNAcentral.